GCAAGAGAAGAGGUAGGAAUGGAUAUGGAAGCCAGUGCUGGUGCUGAAGCAAGUAAAAUCCUCAUAUUUGGAGGAACCAGUUACAUAGGAAAAUAUAUGGUCAAGGCAAGCUUCAAGUUAGGACAUAAAACUUUCGUUUAUGCCCGCCCUAUCACUCCACAAUCCAAUCCAGACAAUAUAAACUUGCUCAAAGAGUUUGACUGUAUCGGCACUACCAUCGUCCAGGGAGAGUUGGACGAACAUGAUAAGAUUGUGGCAAUACUUCGUCAAGUAGAUGUGGUCAUCUCAUUGCUACCAUUCCCCCAGGUUCCUGAUCAGAUUCAUAUAAUUGAAGCCAUUAAAGUUGCUGGUAACAUAAAGGCAAGUGAAAACAUUGUCGUUUUAAUAAAAUAUUUGUUUUCCCGUUCAUAAAAGAAUGAAGAAACUGAUGCAGUUAGUUUUAUGCAUUUGCUAUGUAUAUAGAGGUUCCUUCCAUCGGAUUUCGGGGUUGAAGAGGACAGAAUGAAUUUUCUGCCACCUUUUGAAGCUUGUUUAGACACAAAGCGAAAUAUUGGAAGGACAGUGGAAGUAGCUGGGAUCCCUUACACUUAACGCAUCUGCAAAUUGUUUUGCUGCGUACUUUCUGAAUUACUUGUUUCGUCCACAUGAAGAACAUCAUGAUAUAAUUGUCUAUGGAUCCGGUGAAGCCAAGGGUACAUAAUUAACAUUCAUUUGAAUCUUUGAUUGCUUUAAAUUAUUACAGUCCAUGUACAUGAGUUUUAAAUUGAUUUUUGUUGUCACGUUCAAUACCGUUCAAUUAUGAAGAAGAUAUUGCAGAAUACACAAUCAAAGUGGCAAAUGACCCAAGAACAUGCAACCGAGUCGUAAUUUAUCGAAUGCUAAAAAAUAUUUUGUCCCAGAUUGAGUUGAUUUCUUUGUAGGAGACGAAAACAGGGAGGAGUUUCAGGAAGACUCAUGUAUCAGAGGAAGAACUUGUGAAACUGUCAGAGAAUAAUGUACGAGCGUCGAUCCUUCACAGCAUAUUUGCAAAGGGUGGUCUUCUCAACUAUAAGCUUGGGGAGAAUGACCUUGAAGCUUCCAGUCUAUAUCCGGAUCAUAAGUACACCACCAUUGAUCAACUUCUCGACAUUUUUCUGGUUGAUCCACCCAAGCCUGCUCUUGCUGCACUUUGAAUGAGACUUUAUAUCAUUUUCAGCUCGCCAGCUACUUCUCAAACAUAUAUAUAUAUAUAUAUAUAUAUGUUCUAGUGAUAAUAAUUCCCAAUCUCCAUCACAGUUGAAUGAAGCGUCUUUUACUACUCCUUUGUAACAUUU
Durio zibethinus is the source of this 1313-nucleotide non-coding RNA. Lineage: Eukaryota; Viridiplantae; Streptophyta; Magnoliopsida; Malvales; Malvaceae. The record is from RefSeq and is a predicted model, not a curated record.